This 2311-nucleotide long non-coding RNA is filed under the name Capra hircus (goat). Its description in RNAcentral is "lncRNA (ENSCHIG00010022613.1)". The record is from RNAcentral. Lineage: Eukaryota; Metazoa; Chordata; Mammalia; Artiodactyla; Bovidae.
ACACAAAUUAACUUUAGGGUUUAUCAAGAUUUAUUCUGUAUCCCCAAAAGGAUCAGAAUUUAAAAUAUAAAUGAGGAAAAACUGAAUAUGAGCCUGCACAAGACCAGAGAGCCUAUAGAUAUGCAAAUACCAUCUGGUGAGAACAAGUGUGUCUUGGGCUCCACAGAUAGUGUCCGGGGGUCAAUUACUUAACUUCAUGCUUCAAAUGUAAAAUAGGAAUAAUAAUAAUAGCACCUAUCUUAGGGUUGUGACAAUUAAACACACAUGUAGGACACUCAGCAUGGUACCAGCCAAUAAAUAUUAUCUAUUACUUUAUCAUUGGACUCAAAAGAAUGAGACCAUGAUCAGUGAGUCAUAAAGCCAAAAGUAUGGCAACCAAUAAUCGAUUGCUACCUCCCAGCCCUUUUAAGGCAAUAAAAAGACUCACGCAUCCUUCAAAGAAUAAAAAUAUACAAUAAGAAUAAAAAUCUUUCAAGUCACUGCAGAUAAUGGGUGUUUUACCCAUUGUGUACUCUACUCUGAUGCUGUCCUUUUGUGGCUUGCAGGAUUUGGAGCAAUAGUUCAGCUAAAAGCAAAGGGUUGUAUGAAUUUGCAGUUCUGGAAGAUGCUUCCAGCAGGUGCAUCUUCAUCCUGAGAAGAUUUAGUCAGGGCUCGGUUGCCUAGAUGGUUAACACCUGGUGGUUUUUAUAGCACAAGCUCAACUAAGAGUAAUGGCAAAGGAGAAGGCCGGGCAUAGGCAGAUGUCUUACACUCUGGGCGUGAGUAAACGCUGCGUGCUCCAGCUGCACUUCACACAUGCAAGGAUUACACACACCGCAGCGACCGUGCCCCAGUCCUGGCAGAAUUUCAAGACACUCGGAGCUUGAAUGCCCCCCGAGAGACCUGUUGAGAAACCAAAAGAAAGUAAAAAUUAAAAAAAAAAUAUUUCAGUUGAUGCUCAUGUUUCCCUACCACUUUCCUCCUUUUUGAAUCUUUAAAAAAUAUCUUGUAUACAUAAAUUGAAAUUCCAUUUCUAAUUUUAUUUCACUCUCUUGUGAAAGCAGCAAUUACAAUAUUUGUAAUGAACAGACAUAUUCUGGCAUUUAAAAUAUAAAAUCAAAGUGGAAAAAUAUUAGAGAUACUGAUAUUUAGAUCAAGAUUCAGAUCAAGAUGAUAAUAGUCUUUGUAUAAAUUUAUGACCUCAAAGUAAUAUUUUUAAAUAUUCCUUUAACAUGGAAGUAACUUUUUCUAAAAGCAUAAAGAAAAGCCCAGGGAAGACUUUCAUUUUCUUAUUUUGAGGCUUAUUAACUACCGUUAAGCAGUUUAAAAAUCUAUCUGCAUUUUUUCACUUGCCCUACACUUGGUUCAAAAGCAAUCAUUUGCUGCCCCCUGGCUGUAAAGAGAUUCCUUAUCUUUGAAUAAAAUUAUUUUCUUUAAAAGAAAAAAUUAUUGUAUGUUGAAAAGGNNNNNNNNNNNNNNNNNNNNNNNNUCUCUGGAAGUCCAGGAGUUAAGACUCCACUCUUCCAAUGCACAGGGUGUGGGUUCAAUCCCUGGUUGAAGAAAUAAAAUCCCAUAUACUGCACAGCACAGCCAAAAGAUUAAAAAAAGAAAAUUUAUGACCUCCCAAAUAUAUCAAGGUACUAAUUAAUACUGAUAAAGAACCUAUAUUUUUAGAUCAGACUGCUACCACGUACUAGCUGUGUGAUCUUAGUCAAAUUACUGAACCUUUCUCUGAAGUGUCCUAAUCCAUGUUAAAGAAGCUAAUGAGAAUAAUAAUGCCUACCUCNNNNNNNNNNUAACCACAACUAGAGAAAUCCUGGCAUGCACACAACGAAGACCCAGAGCAGCCAAAAAUAAAAGCAAAUAAUUUAAAAACAAUAAAUAAAUAAAUUGACAUUGCCCUCCAAUCUUGCACUCCACCAACAGCAUGAACCAAAACACCUGACUGACAUAGAGGAAAAGUUGGGACCCAGCUUUGUUAUUUUACAGUUCUACAGAUGUGUGCUCAGUUAUAUCAAGAUUGUAUAUUAAGUCCAUUUACCUUUACCCACUAAUUUGAAAUAUUAUCUUCUACAAAGGUUUCUGUCUCUAAUAAUAGCAAAGAAAAAUGUUCACUAUCAACAUAUAAAAUAAAGAAUUUAAAAUCUGAGUGUCAAAUUUUCAUCAAAGCUACCUUCUUUUCCUCCCCUCAAAUCUAGGAGUAAGCAAUUUUAUCUUGAUGCUGUGAUGUCUUAAUCUUUAAAAGGAACAUGGAGAACAAUUUAGAUAACCACAUUAUUCAUAGUCUAAUUCUGAAAACAUCACAACUAGCUGCUGCUCCCAUAAGCAUGAG